This 416-nucleotide long non-coding RNA is filed under the name Phoenix dactylifera (date palm). RNAcentral's name for it is "long non-coding RNA (PDAC_LNC010833)". The record is from RNAcentral. Lineage: Eukaryota; Viridiplantae; Streptophyta; Magnoliopsida; Arecales; Arecaceae.
UUUUCUUUUAGUUUUCCCUUUCCUAUAGUCACAUACAUUUGCUUUAUGUCCUACAGUUCCACAACAAAAAUAGGUUAUUUUCUUAGUUUUACUCCCCUGCCUUAACAAAGAAGUUACUAAGAAGUUUUUGCUUAUUUUUAGGUUUAUAUCCUAAACCUGCUCUAUUGAAUACAGCUCGUUGACUAUUAAGUAUCAUAUUCAAUUUUUCAAAACUGUAUGUAAAUUUUUCAACCAAAGGUUUGUAUUUUUCAAGUUCUUUAGUUAGUGUUUGUUUUUCCGUUUUUAGAAUAUUCAAUUCUUUUGUAAGAUUCUCUUUUAAGAUUUGUUUAUUGUUUUUAAGUUCUGAAUUUUCCUUAAUUAGUUUUUCAUUAUCUUUACUCAAGGUAUUAGUUUUUUGACUUAAGAGUUGGUUGCUU